CCUACGGGUGGCAGCAGUGAGGAAUAUUGGUCAAUGGACGGAAGUCUGAACCAGCCAUGCCGCGUGCAGGAAGACGGCUCUAUGAGUUGUAACCUGCUUUUGUACAAUGGUAAACCUGAAUACGUGUAUUCAGCUGAAAUUCCUUUACGAAUAAGGAUCGGUUACCUCCGUCCCACCAGCGCCGUUAGUCAGGAGGAUCCAAGCUUUUACCGGCUUUAUUGGGUUAAAGGGUUGCUUAGGCGGAUGGAUAAUUUACGGGUAAAUGGUCCGGGUUUAAGUCGGGAAGUGCCUCUAAUACUGUUGAUCUGGAGAGUAGAUGCGGUAGGAGGAAUGUGUGGUGUAGCGGUGAAAUGCUUAGAGAUCAUACAGAACACCGAUUGCGAAGGCAGCUUACGAAUCUAUAUCUGACGUUGAGGCACGAAAGCGUGGGGAGCAAACAGGAUUAGAUACCCGAGUAGUC
This 460-nucleotide ribosomal RNA is filed under the name uncultured bacterium. RNAcentral describes it as "partial 16S ribosomal RNA". It matches the Rfam family "Bacterial small subunit ribosomal RNA", at positions 338 to 795 of the family's 1533-position model. The record is from RNAcentral.